This 450-nucleotide ribosomal RNA is filed under the name uncultured bacterium. RNAcentral's name for it is "partial 16S ribosomal RNA". It matches the Rfam family "Bacterial small subunit ribosomal RNA", at positions 354 to 796 of the family's 1533-position model. The record is from RNAcentral.
GUGGGGAAUAUUGGACAAUGGGCGAAAGCCUGAUCCAGCCAUGCCGCGUGUGUGAAGAAGGUCUUCGGAUUGUAAAGCACUUUAAGUUGGGAGGAAGGGCAGUAAGUUAAUACCUUGCUGUUUUGACGUUACCGACAGAAUAAGCACCGGCUAACUUCGUGCCAGCAGCCGCGGUAAUACGAAGGGUGCAAGCGUUAAUCGGAAUUACUGGGCGUAAAGCGCGCGUAGGUGGUUCAGCAAGUUGGAGGUGAAAUCCCCGGGAUCAACCUGGGAACUGACUCCAAAACUACUGGGCUAGAGUACGGUAGAGGGUAGUGGAAUUUCCUGUGUAGCGGUGAAAUGCGUAGAUAUAGGAAGGAACACCAGUGGCGAAGGCGACUACCUGGACUGAUACUGACACUGAGGUGCGAAAGCGUGGGGAGCAAACAGGAUUAGAAACCCUGGUAGUCC